Molecule: ribosomal RNA, 259 nt
Filed under: uncultured bacterium
Lineage: Bacteria
Description: partial small subunit ribosomal RNA
Rfam family: Bacterial small subunit ribosomal RNA
Source: RNAcentral
AGGACGAACGCUGGCGGCGUGCUUAACACAUGCAAGUCGAGCGGUAAGGCCUCCUUCGGGGGGUACGCGAGCGGCGAACGGGUGAGUAACACGUGGGUGACCUGCCCUCAGCUCUGGGAUAAGCCUGGGAAACCGGGUCUAAUACCGGAUAGGACUGCUUGCCGCAUGGUGGGUGGUGGAAAGUUUUUUCGGCUGGGGAUGGGCCCGCGGCCUAUCAGCUUGUUGGUGGGGUGAUGGCCUACCAAGGCGGUGACGGGUA